This 448-nucleotide ribosomal RNA is filed under the name uncultured Burkholderia sp. RNAcentral describes it as "bacterial SSU rRNA". It matches the Rfam family "Bacterial small subunit ribosomal RNA", at positions 194 to 637 of the family's 1533-position model. Lineage: Bacteria; Pseudomonadati; Pseudomonadota; Betaproteobacteria; Burkholderiales; Burkholderiaceae. The record is from RNAcentral.
GGGGGAUCUUAGGACCUCUCGCUACAGGGGCGGCCGAUGGCAGAUUAGCUAGUUGGUGGGGUAAAGGCCUACCAAGGCGACGAUCUGUAGCUGGUCUGAGAGGACGACCAGCCACACUGGGACUGAGACACGGCCCAGACUCCUACGGGAGGCAGCAGUGGGGAAUUUUGGACAAUGGGGGCAACCCUGAUCCAGCAAUGCCGCGUGUGUGAAGAAGGCCUUCGGGUUGUAAAGCACUUUUGUCCGGAAAGAAAACGUCCUGGUUAAUACCCGGGGCGGAUGACGGUACCGGAAGAAUAAGCACCGGCUAACUACGUGCCAGCAGCCGCGGUAAUACGUAGGGUGCAAGCGUUAAUCGGAAUUACUGGGCGUAAAGCGUGCGCAGGCGGUCCGCUAAGACAGAUGUGAAAUCCCCGGGCUUAACCUGGGAACUGCAUUUGUGACUGGC